UACGAAGGUCCCAAGCGUUAUCCGGAUUUAUUGGGCUUAAAGGGUGCGUAGGCGGGCUAUUAAGUCAGUGGUGAAAGCCCCAAGCUUAACUUGGGAACUGCCAUUGAUACUGAUGGUCUUGAGUACAUUUGAGGUGGGCGGAAUGUGUCAUGUAGCGGUGAAAUGCUUAGAUAUGACACAGAACACCGAUUGCGAAGGCAGCUCACUAAACUGUAACUGACGCUGAGGCACGAAAGCGUGGGGAGCAAACAGG
This 253-nucleotide ribosomal RNA is filed under the name uncultured bacterium. RNAcentral describes it as "partial 16S ribosomal RNA". It matches the Rfam family "Bacterial small subunit ribosomal RNA", at positions 524 to 776 of the family's 1533-position model. The record is from RNAcentral.